Molecule: ribosomal RNA, 492 nt
Filed under: uncultured bacterium
Lineage: Bacteria
Description: partial 16S ribosomal RNA
Rfam family: Bacterial small subunit ribosomal RNA
Source: RNAcentral
AGUGAACGCUGGCGGUAGGCCUAACACAUGCAAGUCGAACGGCAGCACAGUAAGAGCUUGCUCUUACGGGUGGCGAGUGGCGGACGGGUGAGGAAUACAUCGGAAUCUACUUUUUCGUGGGGGAUAACGUAGGGAAACUUACGCUAAUACCGCAUACGACCUACGGGUGAAAGCAGGGGAUCUUCGGACCUUGCGCGAUUGAAUGAGCCGAUGUCGGAUUAGCUAGUUGGCGGGGUAAAGGCCCACCAAGGCGACGAUCCGUAGCUGGUCUGAGAGGAUGAUCAGCCACACUGGAACUGAGACACGGUCCAGACUCCUACGGGAGGCAGCAGUGGGGAAUAUUGGACAAAGGGCGAAAGCCUGAUCCAGCCAUACCGCGUGGGUGAAGAAGGCCUUCGGGUUGUAAAGCCCUUUUGUUGGGAAAGAAAAGCAGCAGGUUAAUACCCCGCUGUUCUGACGGUACCCAAAGAAUAAGCACCGGCUAACUUCGUG